GAAAUACUUCCUCUGUCCCAAAAUUCUUGUCUUAGAUUUGUCUAGAUAUGGAUGUAUCUUACACUAAAACGUAACUAGAUACAUCCGUAUUUAGACAAAUCUAAGACAAGAAUUUUGGGACGGAGGGAGUAUAUG
This is a non-coding RNA of Triticum aestivum (bread wheat), 135 nucleotides long. The record is from Rfam. NCBI's taxonomy places the organism in Eukaryota, Viridiplantae, Streptophyta, Magnoliopsida, Poales, Poaceae.